This is a long non-coding RNA of Acanthochromis polyacanthus (spiny chromis), 145 nucleotides long. RefSeq lists it as uncharacterized. The transcript has 3 exons. NCBI's taxonomy places the organism in Eukaryota, Metazoa, Chordata, Actinopteri, Pomacentridae. The record is from RefSeq and is a predicted model, not a curated record.
GGUUCUGUACUGUUACGUCUCCCAGUCCUACAGAGUUGUUCUGUCCUUCGAGGAGAAGAGCAAAGCUACAGUGGACGACAGAUCUGAUCCUGAAGCAUUUCUGACUCGUCACGAGCUUCAUCUGGUGUCUCCGGACCAGUCAGAA